UACAGAGGGUGCUAGCGUUGUUCGGAAUCAUUGGGCGUAAAGGGCGUGUAGGCGGUUUGUUAAGUCAUGUGUGAAAUCCCUCGGCUCAACCGGGGAAGGACGCAUGAAACUGGCAAGCUAGAGUACCAAAGAGGGGGGUGGAAUUCCCGGUGUAGCGGUGAAAUGCGUAGAUAUCGGAAGGAACAUCAGUGGCGAAAGCAGCUCUCUGGGACGGUACUGACGCUGAGACGCGAAAGCGUGGGGAGCGAACAGG
Molecule: ribosomal RNA, 253 nt
Filed under: uncultured bacterium
Lineage: Bacteria
Description: partial 16S ribosomal RNA
Rfam family: Bacterial small subunit ribosomal RNA
Source: RNAcentral